This 449-nucleotide ribosomal RNA is filed under the name uncultured bacterium. Its description in RNAcentral is "partial 16S ribosomal RNA". It matches the Rfam family "Bacterial small subunit ribosomal RNA", at positions 29 to 523 of the family's 1533-position model. The record is from RNAcentral.
AGCGAACGCUGGCGGCAGGCUUAACACAUGCAAGUCGAGCGGGCCCUUCGGGGUCAGCGGCAGACGGGUGAGUAACGCGUGGGAACGUGCCCUUUGGAUCGGAAUAACCCUGGGAGACUAGGGCUAAUACCGGAUACGCCCUUACGGGGAAAGGUUUACCGCCGAAGGAUCGGCCCGCGUCUGAUUAGCUUGUUGGUGAGGUAACGGCUCACCAAGGCGACGAUCAGUAGCUGGUCUGAGAGGAUGAUCAGCCACACUGGGACUGAGACACGGCCCAGACUCCUACGGGAGGCAGCAGUGGGGAAUAUUGGACAAUGGGGGCAACCCUGAUCCAGCCAUGCCGCGUGAGUGAUGACGGCCUUAGGGUUGUAAAGCUCUUUUACCCGGGACGAUAAUGACGGUACCGGGUGAAUAAGCCCCGGCUAACUUCGUGCCAGCCGCCGCAGUAA